RNAcentral lists this ribosomal RNA (849 nucleotides) under Amanita rubescens. RNAcentral's name for it is "eukaryotic LSU rRNA". It matches the Rfam family "Eukaryotic large subunit ribosomal RNA", at positions 80 to 917 of the family's 3401-position model. Lineage: Eukaryota; Fungi; Basidiomycota; Agaricomycetes; Agaricales; Amanitaceae. The record is from RNAcentral.
UUAGUAACUGCGAGUGAAGAGGGAAAAGCUCAAAUUAAAAUCUGGCAGUGUUUCACUGUCCGAGUUGUAACCUAGAGAAGUGUAACCUGCACUGGACCGUGUAUAAGUCUCCUGGAAUGGAGCAUCACAGAGGGUGAGAAUCCCGUCUUUGACAUGGACCACCAGUGCAUUGUGGUUGUGCUCUCAACGAGUCGAGUUGUUUGGGAAUGCAGCUCUAAAUGGGUGGUAAAUUCCAUCUAAAGCUAAAUAUUGGCGAGAGACCGAUAGCGAACAAGUACCGUGAGGGAAAGAUGAAAAGAACUUUGGAAAGAGAGUUAAACAGUAUGUGAAAUUGUUGAAAGGGAAACGUUUGAAGUCAGUCGCGUUGGUUGGGGAUCAGCCUGACAUUGUUGGGUUUACUUCCUGGUCGACGGGCCAACAUCAGUUUUGACUGCCAGAAAAAGGCCAAAGGAAUGUGGCACCUUUGGGUGUGUUAUAGCCCUUGGUCGUAUAUGGUGGUUGGGACUGAGGAAAGCAGCGUGCCGAAAGGCCGGGUUUCGACCACGUUCACGCUGAGGAUGUUGGCAUAAUGGCUUUAAGCGACCCGUCUUGAAACACGGACCAAGGAGUCUAACAUGCAUGCGAGUGUUUGGGUGGAAAACCCUUACGCGUAAUGAAAGUGAAAGUUGAGAUCCCUGUCGCGGGGAGCAUCGACGCCCGGACCAGAACUUUUGGGACGGAUCUGCGGUAGAGCAUGUAUGUUGGGACCCGAAAGAUGGUGAACUAUGCCUGAAUAGGGUGAAGCCAGAGGAAACUCUGGUGGAGGCUCGUAGCGAUUCUGACGUGCAAAUCGAUCGUCAAAUUUGGGUA